GGUAAGAACAAGUUUCAACCGAUAUGUCAAUCCUAUGAGUUUUCAAAUGUCCAAUUUGAAAUAUGAGAACAUCUCCAAAGAAAAUGUUAAAAUAUCCAAAUCAACAAUAACGGUAAAAAAAGACACCAACAAUAUUUUUCAACCCAAGCAGCCAAAUCUAACGUGGCAUGACAUAAAAUAGCAUCUCUCUCUCUUGCUGACAAAUUUGACAGUAGCUUCAAAUAUUUUUUUAAUUCUUUAUUAAAGUUUUAUCAAAUCUCAACUCUCCUCUCUCACUGGAACCUAGAAUCUCAGUCGCCGCUCAUCCUUCUUCUUCCCUUUCUGGGAACCAAACCCAGAAACAAACCUAAAACCUCACGAUCUUCGCUGCAGUCCCGAGAAAGAAAGUCCAUGGAGUCCAUCACCACACCUGCAAACGGAGUUGCAGGCCAAAAGAUUCUCUCUCCCAUUCCACAGUUCCUCUCGUCUUUCUCCUUCCCACUCUCCACCCUUUCCACAGUAUCUUGGAAUCAAGAGAUUUCCAGAAAGAAGGGGCUGGGCUUCGUUUCACAUUUAAAAAAUAAAAUGAACAUGAAAAGAAAAUAGUGUAAUAAAGUAAUAAUUUAAUUUGACAUAUCUGGUAGAAAACAUAACUUCAAAAAAUGUCAAAGUACCACGUAGGCCGUCAAAUUCAAAUUUUAUACUUAAAAUUUGACAUCUCCUUUGGAAAUGCUCGAGAAAAGGUGGUGUCAAAUAAUUUUUAAUUAUUUUAUUGUGUGAGUCCCGUUAAUGCACCAAUUAUAGAUUUUGAAAUUUUAUUUUAAUUGAUUUCUUUUUAAAAUAGGUCUUACAAAUAUCAUUUAUAACAAAAAAAUAUAUCAGUUGGAAAAAGAAAAAAUCUGACAUUACCACGUCAACCAUCAAAUUAACAUUUCACAUUUAUCUUUUGACAUCUCCAUUAAAGAUGCUCUUAGAGAUCAAAUUUAACUUGCAUGAGCUCCAAUUUUUUUUAAAAAAAAUUAUAAAUGCAAUAUUUAGGGAGAACGAAUCAAACUCAGCAUCUUAAGUGCAUAAAGCAAAUGUUAUAAACCAAUUGAAUUACAGACCCAUUGUCGUGAAUUACAACUGAAACGGAAGUUUCAAUCUCAAUUUUAACUCGAGAUCCACAAACUACACUUGACAUGAAAUUUAUAUUCGUGUUUUGACCUUCAAAAAUAAGACGUGCCAAAUAGUACAACACCUAUAUUAUCUCCAACUUAACCACCUAUAGCACAAAAAGUGGGGUUUUAUCCCUAAAGACCUCAGCACAACUGGAAGUUAAACUAUUCAAUAUAAGUUGUGACUUUUUUUGUAAGAUGACUGACGUAAAACUGUUUGCCUUAUUUAACACGAACCCUCACGUUCAUACACUUUGGAGUAGCCAUGUGUGGAGCUACAUGGAUCAUAUUUGUAAGUGACCCCACUAAUUUAGGCCUAGAUCUGAAAAUACGCUCUGAUACCAUGCUAAAUUUUAAGAGAGAUUUGCCAAAUGAUCCAACACCUAUAGACUUCCAACAUAAUCACACAAAACCCAAUAAGAGUAAAUUUUAUCUCAAAAGUCUCGAAUUAGAAGCUGAACCAUUUAACAAUAUGAUGACCAAUGUGAAACCUUUUACUUUAUUCAACAAUAUUUAGACCCAAAAAUAACAUUUAAGUCCAAACUUUCCGCUAAAUUGAAGCCGAGCUUUCUUCAGGCCAUGUCAUUGAUAUAGUUGAUAUAACAAGGUUUUACUUUUGUUAAAAGUGACGUCUCAGCGUCACCAUUUAUGUUCUGCAGAUGACCACUAAACAAGAUGAGGGUCAUCACCUUACGUGCUCAUCGGCAUUCCUGUCAAUUUUUAUUUUGUGCAAGUAAAGUCGCCAUCCAGCUCUCGGUCUAGUGGUACUUUCCGUCUAAAACAUUGAAAGAGAUCCAAAGUUUGCAAUAAAAAACACCGAAAAGGCAAUUUCUUGAUUCUCUUCAGACAUUUGUGAUAAACACCCAAAAGGCAGAAAGCAGCAAAGGCUUCAAAACACAUCACACCAACUCAUAAACAAGAGAAAAACUGAACUACAAAAGCAGACGGGGCUGCGCCCCAACAAGUACACAACCCACACACAUCCCCUUCCCCCCAAAGAGAGACAACAAAAUGCAAAAGUUAGUCCCAUCCAGUGCCACUAAGUACAAACAAUAUGCAAUAAGUCGCCAAUCAGAUUAUGUACUCAACCGACAGAGGAUAUAUGCCUGCUUAAAUCGUGUUUGCAACAAGCAAUUCUUGUAUCAUGAUCAUGCCGACGGCAUUCAUUCAUAGAACCUGCCAAAUGCGGUGUACAAGAGAGAUCACUUUUAACUAUAGCUAGACAGUGACACGAUGACCAUGCGUAACAUAAUAAAUCAACCUACCACUCAGAAUCGUCGAGUUUCAACCCCACAACUUUCCGACUAGGCCUUCAAAACUUAGGUCUGAAGCUCCAGCAUCCAUCAAGUUGGGAUGUAACAUACAAUUGAAAGAAACUCCAAACUUACCUGAACAUGAACAUGAACAAAACUGCCAGCAGCAGAACUUGAUAGGAACCUUGCACUUAAAUUUUGUGUUCAACCAAAAAUUUCCCAGGACGGCAAAUUUUUCGUUGCAUGGCAUUCAAUUUAUAAAAAUGCAGGCAGGUGUAAUUAAAGCUCAAACACAAACGUGAACACCACCAAGCACACAGCUUAAGAAAUAGUAGCUACUCUAGAAACAGAUCCCUCGAGUCUACUCCAAUUCCACCACCCAAGUCGUGUUGACAUUGAGCUUCAAUUACACAUCCUCCUCACUUUUAAAUCAGAACUAGUAGACCUCAAAAACAGUUGUGUAGAUGGAUUUCACAACAGAUAUCGUAAACCAAAAAUGUAAUAUGAAAUGAUGGAGAAGUGAAAUCAUAAAUGCGUGCAGUCAGAUGAUACAACAAUAUGCUACAUCACAAAGUAACCGGUUAAGUUUUCAUGAUCCACAACAUAUAAAUUCAAACAACAAAGUAAUCAAACUACAUAGCUGAGAAAACACAAAUACAGAGGCAACAUUGAAGUAACAUGGCUUCAUAAUGUCAAAGUGUAACAG
Molecule: long non-coding RNA, 3095 nt
Organism: Pyrus x bretschneideri (Chinese white pear)
Lineage: Eukaryota; Viridiplantae; Streptophyta; Magnoliopsida; Rosales; Rosaceae
Exons: 2
Source: RefSeq, a predicted model, not a curated record